This 253-nucleotide ribosomal RNA is filed under the name uncultured bacterium. Its description in RNAcentral is "partial 16S ribosomal RNA". It matches the Rfam family "Bacterial small subunit ribosomal RNA", at positions 524 to 776 of the family's 1533-position model. The record is from RNAcentral.
UACGUAGGGGGCAAGCGUUGUCCGGAAUCAUUGGGCGUAAAGAGCGUGUAGGCGGCCCGAUAAGUCCGCUGUGAAAACUCGAGGCUCAACUUCGAGCUGUCGGUGGAAACUAUUUGGCUAGAGUCCGGAAGAGGAGAGUGGAAUUCCUGGUGUAGCGGUGAAAUGCGCAGAUAUCAGGAAGAACACCCGUGGCGAAGGCGGCUCUCUGGUACGGAACUGACGCUGAGACGCGAAAGCGUGGGGAGCGAACAGG